GUUCAGAGCCGGAGCAUUCCGUUCCGGUUUUCGGUGUUUAAUAACGGAGUAAGUUGAAUGGCCCGUAUAGCCGGCGUCAAUAUUCCUGAU
Regulatory RNA element from Gynuella sunshinyii YC6258, 90 nucleotides. It matches the Rfam family "Alpha operon ribosome binding site". Rfam says of the family: The bacterial alpha operon ribosome binding site is surrounded by this complex pseudoknotted structure. Translation of the mRNA produces 4 ribosomal protein products, one of which (S4) acts as a translational repressor by binding to the nested pseudoknot region. The record is from Rfam. Lineage: Bacteria; Pseudomonadati; Pseudomonadota; Gammaproteobacteria; Oceanospirillales; Saccharospirillaceae.